Molecule: ribosomal RNA, 2862 nt
Filed under: Escherichia coli 2-460-02_S4_C3
Lineage: Bacteria; Pseudomonadati; Pseudomonadota; Gammaproteobacteria; Enterobacterales; Enterobacteriaceae
Description: bacterial LSU rRNA
Rfam family: Bacterial large subunit ribosomal RNA
Source: RNAcentral
GAGGCGAUGAAGGACGUGCUAAUCUGCGAUAAGCGUCGGUAAGGUGAUAUGAACCGUUAUAACCGGCGAUUUCCGAAUGGGGAAACCCAGUGUGUUUCGAUACACUAUCAUUAACUGAAUCCAUAGGUUAAUGAGGCGAACCGGGGGAACUGAAACAUCUAAGUACCCCGAGGAAAAGAAAUCAACCGAGAUUCCCCCAGUAGCGGCGAGCGAACGGGGAGCAGCCCAGAGCCUGAAUCAGUGUGUGUGUUAGUGGAAGCGUCUGGAAAGGCGCGCGAUACAGGGUGACAGCCCCGUACACAAAAAUGCACAUGCUGUGAGCUCGAUGAGUAGGGCGGGACACGUGGUAUCCUGUCUGAAUAUGGGGGGACCAUCCUCCAAGGCUAAAUACUCCUGACUGACCGAUAGUGAACCAGUACCGUGAGGGAAAGGCGAAAAGAACCCCGGCGAGGGGAGUGAAAAAGAACCUGAAACCGUGUACGUACAAGCAGUGGGAGCACGCUUAGGCGUGUGACUGCGUACCUUUUGUAUAAUGGGUCAGCGACUUAUAUUCUGUAGCAAGGUUAACCGAAUAGGGGAGCCGAAGGGAAACCGAGUCUUAACUGGGCGUUAAGUUGCAGGGUAUAGACCCGAAACCCGGUGAUCUAGCCAUGGGCAGGUUGAAGGUUGGGUAACACUAACUGGAGGACCGAACCGACUAAUGUUGAAAAAUUAGCGGAUGACUUGUGGCUGGGGGUGAAAGGCCAAUCAAACCGGGAGAUAGCUGGUUCUCCCCGAAAGCUAUUUAGGUAGCGCCUCGUGAAUUCAUCUCCGGGGGUAGAGCACUGUUUCGGCAAGGGGGUCAUCCCGACUUACCAACCCGAUGCAAACUGCGAAUACCGGAGAAUGUUAUCACGGGAGACACACGGCGGGUGCUAACGUCCGUCGUGAAGAGGGAAACAACCCAGACCGCCAGCUAAGGUCCCAAAGUCAUGGUUAAGUGGGAAACGAUGUGGGAAGGCCCAGACAGCCAGGAUGUUGGCUUAGAAGCAGCCAUCAUUUAAAGAAAGCGUAAUAGCUCACUGGUCGAGUCGGCCUGCGCGGAAGAUGUAACGGGGCUAAACCAUGCACCGAAGCUGCGGCAGCGACGCUGAUGCGUUGUUGGGUAGGGGAGCGUUCUGUAAGCCUGCGAAGGUGUGCUGUGAGGCAUGCUGGAGGUAUCAGAAGUGCGAAUGCUGACAUAAGUAACGAUAAAGCGGGUGAAAAGCCCGCUCGCCGGAAGACCAAGGGUUCCUGUCCAACGUUAAUCGGGGCAGGGUGAGUCGACCCCUAAGGCGAGGCCGAAAGGCGUAGUCGAUGGGAAACAGGUUAAUAUUCCUGUACUUGGUGUUACUGCGAAGGGGGGACGGAGAAGGCUAUGUUGGCCGGGCGACGGUUGUCCCGGUUUAAGCGUGUAGGCUGGUUUUCCAGGCAAAUCCGGAAAAUCAAGGCUGAGGCGUGAUGACGAGGCACUACGGUGCUGAAGCAACAAAUGCCCUGCUUCCAGGAAAAGCCUCUAAGCAUCAGGUAACAUCAAAUCGUACCCCAAACCGACACAGGUGGUCAGGUAGAGAAUACCAAGGCGCUUGAGAGAACUCGGGUGAAGGAACUAGGCAAAAUGGUGCCGUAACUUCGGGAGAAGGCACGCUGAUAUGUAGGUGAAGUCCCUCGCGGAUGGAGCUGAAAUCAGUCGAAGAUACCAGCUGGCUGCAACUGUUUAUUAAAAACACAGCACUGUGCAAACACGAAAGUGGACGUAUACGGUGUGACGCCUGCCCGGUGCCGGAAGGUUAAUUGAUGGGGUUAGCGCAAGCGAAGCUCUUGAUCGAAGCCCCGGUAAACGGCGGCCGUAACUAUAACGGUCCUAAGGUAGCGAAAUUCCUUGUCGGGUAAGUUCCGACCUGCACGAAUGGCGUAAUGAUGGCCAGGCUGUCUCCACCCGAGACUCAGUGAAAUUGAACUCGCUGUGAAGAUGCAGUGUACCCGCGGCAAGACGGAAAGACCCCGUGAACCUUUACUAUAGCUUGACACUGAACAUUGAGCCUUGAUGUGUAGGAUAGGUGGGAGGCUUUGAAGUGUGGACGCCAGUCUGCAUGGAGCCGACCUUGAAAUACCACCCUUUAAUGUUUGAUGUUCUAACGUGGACCCGUAAUCCGGGUUGCGGACAGUGUCUGGUGGGUAGUUUGACUGGGGCGGUCUCCUCCUAAAGAGUAACGGAGGAGCACGAAGGUUGGCUAAUCCUGGUCGGACAUCAGGAGGUUAGUGCAAUGGCAUAAGCCAGCUUGACUGCGAGCGUGACGGCGCGAGCAGGUGCGAAAGCAGGUCAUAGUGAUCCGGUGGUUCUGAAUGGAAGGGCCAUCGCUCAACGGAUAAAAGGUACUCCGGGGAUAACAGGCUGAUACCGCCCAAGAGUUCAUAUCGACGGCGGUGUUUGGCACCUCGAUGUCGGCUCAUCACAUCCUGGGGCUGAAGUAGGUCCCAAGGGUAUGGCUGUUCGCCAUUUAAAGUGGUACGCGAGCUGGGUUUAGAACGUCGUGAGACAGUUCGGUCCCUAUCUGCCGUGGGCGCUGGAGAACUGAGGGGGGCUGCUCCUAGUACGAGAGGACCGGAGUGGACGCAUCACUGGUGUUCGGGUUGUCAUGCCAAUGGCACUGCCCGGUAGCUAAAUGCGGAAGAGAUAAGUGCUGAAAGCAUCUAAGCACGAAACUUGCCCCGAGAUGAGUUCUCCCUGACCCUUUAAGGGUCCUGAAGGAACGUUGAAGACGACGACGUUGAUAGGCCGGGUGUGUAAGCGCAGCGAUGCGUUGAGCUAACCGGUACUAAUGAACCGUGAGGCUUAACCUU